GCAUAUAACUCCGAGCUUACUUACCUACGUUUUGCGCACAGUAUUGAACACAAAAUAGGGUGGUAAUGCCAAUAAUACGAAGUCGGUAUUAUUCAGGGAUACGUUGGAAACGAUUUAUCCUCUCCGUUUUUAGAAAGGUGUCAAAUGCAAA
RNAcentral lists this non-coding RNA (151 nucleotides) under uncultured Aggregatibacter sp. Its description in RNAcentral is "Moco (molybdenum cofactor) riboswitch". It matches the Rfam family "Molybdenum/Tungsten riboswitch aptamer (Moco RNA motif)". Lineage: Bacteria; Pseudomonadati; Pseudomonadota; Gammaproteobacteria; Pasteurellales; Pasteurellaceae. The record is from RNAcentral.